CCGGCGCACGGGUGCGUAACGCGUAUGCAACCUACCUUUCACAGGGGGAUAGCCCGGAGAAAUUUGGAUUAAUAUCCCAUAAUAUUGUUGGAUGGCAUCAUUUGGCAAUUAAAGUUACGAUGGUGGAAGAUGGGCAUGCGUCCUAUUAGCUAGUUGGCGAGGUAACGGCUCGCCAAGGCGACGAUAGGUAGGGGUCCUGAGAGGGAGAUCCCCCACACUGGUACUGAGACAGGGACCAGACUCC
This 244-nucleotide ribosomal RNA is filed under the name uncultured Flavobacteriaceae bacterium. RNAcentral describes it as "partial 16S ribosomal RNA". It matches the Rfam family "Bacterial small subunit ribosomal RNA", at positions 95 to 339 of the family's 1533-position model. Lineage: Bacteria; Pseudomonadati; Bacteroidota; Flavobacteriia; Flavobacteriales; Flavobacteriaceae. The record is from RNAcentral.